UAAUUGAAGAGUUUGAUCAUGGCUCAGAUUGAACGCUGGCGGCAGGCCUAACACAUGCAAGUCGAGCGGUAACAGGGAUCAGCUUGCUGAUUCGCUGACGAGCGGCGGACGGGUGAGUAAUGUCUGGGAAACUGCCUGAUGGAGGGGGAUAACCACUGGAAACGGUGGCUAAUACCGCAUAACGUCGCAAGACCAAAGUGGGGGACCUUCGGGCCUCAUGCCAUCAGAUGUGCCCAGAUGGGAUUAGCUUGUAGGUGGGGUAACGGCUCACCUAGGCGACGAUCCCUAGCUGGUCUGAGAG
RNAcentral lists this ribosomal RNA (301 nucleotides) under Cronobacter sakazakii. Its description in RNAcentral is "partial 16S ribosomal RNA". It matches the Rfam family "Bacterial small subunit ribosomal RNA", at positions 1 to 298 of the family's 1533-position model. Lineage: Bacteria; Pseudomonadati; Pseudomonadota; Gammaproteobacteria; Enterobacterales; Enterobacteriaceae. The record is from RNAcentral.